AGUGGGUAGUCCGUACGAGCGCACCUGUCCUUAUUUGCCAUCAUUUAGUUGGGUACUCUAGGGAGACUGCCGGUGACAAACCGGAGGAAGGUGGGGACGACGUCAAGUCAUCAUGGCCCUUACGACCAGGGCUACACACGUGCUACAAUGGGGCGUACAAAGGGUUGCAACCCCGCGAGGGUGAGCUAAUCCCAUAAAACGUUUCGUAGUCCGGAUCGCAGUCUGCAACUCGACUGCGUGAAGUCGGAAUCGCUAGUAAUCGUGAAUCAGAAUGUCACGGUGAAUACGUUCCCGGGCCUUGUACACACCGCCCGUCACACCAUGGGAGUGGGUUGCAAAAGAAGUGGGUAGCAUAACCUUUUGGAGUGCGCUCACCACUUUGUGAUUCAUGACUGGGGUGAAGUCGUAACAAGGUAGCCGUAGGGGAACCUGCGGCUGGAUCACCUCCUU
Molecule: ribosomal RNA, 450 nt
Filed under: uncultured Gammaproteobacteria bacterium
Lineage: Bacteria; Pseudomonadati; Pseudomonadota; Gammaproteobacteria
Description: bacterial SSU rRNA
Rfam family: Bacterial small subunit ribosomal RNA
Source: RNAcentral